This 438-nucleotide ribosomal RNA is filed under the name uncultured bacterium. RNAcentral's name for it is "partial 16S ribosomal RNA". It matches the Rfam family "Bacterial small subunit ribosomal RNA", at positions 339 to 795 of the family's 1533-position model. The record is from RNAcentral.
CUACGGGGGGCACCAGUGAGGAAUAUUGCACAAUGGGGGGAACCCUGAUGCAGCAACGCCGCGUGGAGGAUGACGCAUUUCGGUGUGUAAACUCCUUUUAUAUGUCAAGAAAAUGACGGUAGCAUAUGAAUAAGCACCGGCUAACUCCGUGCCAGCAGCCGCGGUAAUACGGAGGGUGCAAGCGUUACUCGGAAUCACUGGGCGUAAAGGACGCGUAGGCGGGCUUGUAAGUCAGGUGUGUAAUCCUACAGCUUAACUGUAGAACUGCACUUGAAACUACGAGCCUAGAGUAUGGGAGGGGGAGAUGGAAUUAGUGGUGUAGGGGUAAAUCCGUAGAUAUCACUAGGAAUACCUAAAGCGAAGGCGAUCUCCUGGAACAUAACUGACGCUAAGGCGUGAAAGCGUGGGGAGCAAACAGGAUUAGAUACCCGCGUAGUC